RNAcentral lists this unclassified non-coding RNA (3504 nucleotides) under Hevea brasiliensis (rubber tree). The record is from RNAcentral. Lineage: Eukaryota; Viridiplantae; Streptophyta; Magnoliopsida; Malpighiales; Euphorbiaceae.
ACUUCUUGUGCUUUAUUGGCAGUUGGGGCUUGAAGAAAUGUGAUUGAAUUGCCUAAUUUUACUGUUUAAAGUUGUUUUUGAAGUCCUUUUCUAGUUAUGUUGGUUCAUGGGAUCCACUUUAAUCUGUUUUUCACGCAUUCAAAACUACAGGACAAUAGUAGCUGUGUUAUCAAUAAUUUAGCGCGGAUCGAAUUUUGAUUCUAAUAUAAGCCAUUAAAUUAUUCAGCUUCAAGUUUUAUGCACCUUUUUCUUUUUUUGGGGGGUCGGUAAUUGAAACAAAAAGUUGUAGUAUUUAAUUUAGUGGUAUCAUGUCUUGAUGCUGUUAUAGCCCAUUAAAUUAUUGAAGCCCAUGUGGUCCUAACCUCACUUAGUUAUCUAGGGGAACUAAAUUGAAUUUUUUCUUUAACAAAUUGAUGAUUGAUUAAUUUAAUUAUUCGUGAUAGCAUUUAAAUGGUCUGUAAAGGCUGAUUCAUUUUUGUUUUCUUGUCAAAAUGUUAACUCGGUUGUGUAGAACUCAAUAUAGUAAUAUCUUUAAUUGAACAGCAGGUAUCAAACUGGGCCCAAAUGUGGGCAAAAUUUUAAAAAAUUCACAGGGGACAGGCUCUGCUUAGAUUCAAGGAACAAUUUGUUAAGUUAAUUCUGGUGUAAUUUUACUGUUUUGUCUUGAUCCUACAUGUAUUACGACAAUUCUUUUCUAUGUUGUUUAUACUUUAUUGUUAUAAUUUAAUAUUUGGCUCGGUUUUAUUGUUAUUCAUGCAAUUGGAGUGAAUAUAGAAAGCUCUAGUCUGAAACAGUUACUUGGAUAGAUAAUAUUUCUUAUUUGUUCUGGAAAAUCUCCAAAGCUGCAGUGUCAACUUUGAUUGUGCUGAUUGAGUAAUUUGAUUGUGCCAAGUGAUUAAAAGUUAUUUUCUUUUAUUUAAUGUCACAUGCCUCUUAUCAUCAUAUUUGCCUUAUUUAUUUAUUUAGUUGGUGUCAUUCCAGUUGUUUUUGUUAUCGUUGAAUUAGCUGUGAGUCAUGUUAUUAAUUUAUACAAGCAUAACCGGCUGGUUACGUUUUAGAAAAUCUCCUCUGCCAAUAAUUGUUGCUUGCUUUAUAUAAUUAAGAAUUAACAGCAGGACGAAUUGGUUGUUUUACUUAAAAAUAAUUUUGUUUUCUCUCUCUCUCAUUUUAUUUAUAGGCGUGCAUUAAACGGACCAAAUCUCUGCUUCUGUCAAUUAAUCCUCAUGUUUGACUUUGUUUCUAUAAGAAUUCUUGUAGAUUGCAACAUAUGUUGUUAUAUCUACCCAUGGUAGUUUCUUAAAAGUUAUAUUUGUUGACUUCUGGUUACUAAAAUUGCAAGAAUAGCAUUAUCAUCUUCAUCAGCAGCUGCAUCAUAUUCUUGUCAUAUCUCAUUUGUUUUAGAAUCAAUGUCAUGAUGUUACUUCAACUUUUGAAGUUAUUCCAUGAAGAAUGAUUUCUGCAAUCUGCACUCAGGGUUAUGGAGGAUGGGACUAAUGAUUCUUUACCCAACCUUGCUGCAUCAUUUAGUCGGACAAGCAGUGUCGGAUCUUCGCUGAGAAGGCGUUCCUUAAGCUUAUUACAAACUGUGCCCUUUCAAAUAGAUGAUGAUAUUGAAAGUGAAAAUGUUUCAGAGGCAGGUGAUAUUGGGGAUAGGGCUCUUCAUAGUAAGAGGUACAGUGAGAGUAGCAGCAUCCGGUUUUCCCUUGAUAACACUUUAGAGAAUGGAGUUGUGUUUCCCAUCAGGGAGGACAAUUUAUUGCAAUCAUAUGGGAUAGUGUCUCAUGAUUCCACAACUUUGAAUACAGCAAUCCCUGUGCCACAGGUGCCAGAAGAAAACAUAUCUCCUCUUUCCACGGAUGCAAUGGUGUGCUCGAAGGACGAAAAACAAGAAAAAGAGACGGCACUAGUUUUGUCCUCAGAAUUGGAAUAUAUAUCAUGUCUUCUUCAUCUCUCUGUUUUUGGGAUUCUUGGGGUUUUGACAAGGUACUUAUUACAGAAACUUUUUGGUCCUAGUGUGGCUGGUGUGACGGGUGACCACUACCCUUUAUACCUUGACCUUCCUUCCAACAUGGUUGGUUCUUUCCUGAUGGGAUGGUGGGGUGUUGUUUUCAAAGGAGAUAUAGCCAGUGUGUCUGAUCAUCUGGCCAUUGGAUUAACAACUGGAUACUUGGGAAGUCUCACAACUUUCAGUGGCUGGAAUCAGAAAAUGCUUGAUCUCAUUGUUGAUGGCCACUGGGUGUUUGCGCUGGUUGGCUUUCUUCUAGGCUUGUUCCUUGCAGCCUAUUCCAUCAAAUUUGGCAUUGGGACAGCCAAGUGUUUCAAGUCACUUCUCAAAAGACUAAAUAGACGUGAAAGUAAAAUUAGCAGCAAUUGGAGGGUGGACAACCGCAAGCGUCAUCUGGCAAUUAUGGCAAUUUUGGUGCUUAUGCUAGGUUUUUUAUGGAGUGUGAGUGGGACACUGCUAAAGAAGGAGUUCAACAGUGGCAGCAGUAGAGCCCAAUUAUGGCUGGCUUGCUUACUUGCAGCCCCAGGGGUAUGGAUCAGGUGGUUCUUGGCUCGGCUCAAUGGACGUGGAUUAGGGAAAACAGGGCAUCUGAGAUGGGUUCCAUUUGGAACUCUAAUUGCCAAUGUUUCUGCAGCUUGCAUCAUGGCAGCACUCGCUACUUUGAAGAAAGAGGUAAGUUCUAUAUCUCAAACUCGAUUUUUAAAAUGUAGAACUAAAUUUGAGAGAUAAGCACAACCAUUGACAAGGUUAGUAUUGAGAGUUCACCAAAUUUGGCAUUUGCCUUAAUGUCUUGGCACUACCAAGACCUUAAUUUGAAAACACACUAACCUCUGUUGUUUGUUGGGCAAUUGUCCCUUUUCCAUUUACAUUCAUUAUUUUAACCUCUGCAAUGUUAUUAUAUUAGUUUUUAAAGAUAUUUAAAAAAUUUGAAGCUGAUCAAUCCUGCAAUUGCAUCAUGCACACAACUGCAAUUUGUAAUUUUGAUUAGUUGGGAUCUGGGUGAUGAUGCAGGUUCAUACCAAGAACUGCAAUACCAUUUCAACUGGCAUACAGUUUGGAUUUUUGGGUUGUCUGAGUACUGUUUCAACUUUCAUAGCUGAAUACAAUGCCAUGGAAGAAAGUAAUAAAACUUGGAGAGCUUAUGCUUAUGCUCUAAUAACAAUACUCAUGUCAUUUGGCUUGGGGAUCCUGAUAUACUCCGUACCUGUUUGGACUAAGGGAUAUGACUGACAUAUGCUACGGCCAGCUUAUUGUUACAUCUCUUAUUGGUUAUGUAAAGUUGACAUGAUGCAGAUUUUGAUGAGAGAUUUGGAAAAUAGAAAUAUAUAGAACAAUUUCCUAAAAACUCAUUUUGUUGAUCAAUAGAUGAGAAAUCAAAGGUCCUAAUUUCAAACUUGGAUUAUGACUUAAUUAGACAUAUUUUAAUGAUAAUUUUGAAAAUUUAACUCAGUUAAACUUGGAUAUGAUUUUUUUUCAAGACUGAUAAUAUGUAUGAUGAA